GACGAACGCUGGCGGCGUGCUUAACACAUGCAAGUCGAACGGAAAGGCCCUGCUUUUGUGGGGUGCUCGAGUGGCGAACGGGUGAGUAACACGUGAGUAACCUGCCCUUGACUUUGGGAUAACUUCAGGAAACUGGGGCUAAUACCGGAUAGGAGCUCCUGCUGCAUGGUGGGGGUUGGAAAGUUUCGGCGGUUGGGGAUGGACUCGCGGCUUAUCAGCUUGUUGGUGGGGUAGUGGCUUACCAAGGCUUUGACGGGUAGCCGGCCUGAGAGGGUGACCGGCCACAUUGGGACUGAGAUACGGCCCAGACUCCUACGGGAGGCAGCAGUGGGGAAUAUUGCACAAUGGGCGGAAGCCUGAUGCAGCAACGCCGCGUGCGGGAUGACGGCCUUCGGGUUGUAAACCGCUUUCGCCUGUGAUGAAGCGUGAGUGACGGUAAUGGGUAAAGAAGCACCGGCUAACUACGUGCCAGCAGCCGCGGUGAUACGUAGGGUGCGAGCGUUGUCCGGAUUUAUUGGGCGUAAAGGGCUCGUAGGUGGUUGAUCGCGUCGGAAGUGUAAUCUUGGGGCUUAACCCUGAGCGUGCUUUCGAUACGGGUUGACUUGAGGAAGGUAGGGGAGAAUGGAAUUCCUGGUGGAGCGGUGGAAUGCGCAGAUAUCAGGAGGAACACCAGUGGCGAAGGCGGUUCUCUGGGCCUUUCCUGACGCUGAGGAGCGAAAGCGUGGGGAGCGAACAGGCUUAGAUACCCUGGUAGUCCACGCUGUAAACGGUGGGUACUAGGUGUGGGGUCCAUUCCACGGGUUCCGUGCCGUAGCUAACGCUUUAAGUACCCCGCCUGGGGAGUACGGCCGCAAGGCUAAAACUCAAAGGAAUUGACGGGGCCCCGCACAAGCGGCGGAGCAUGCGGAUUAAUUCGAUGCAACGCGUAGAACCUUACCUGGGUUUGACAUGGAUCGGGAGCGCUCAGAGAUGGGUGUGCCUCUUUUGGGGUCGGUUCACAGGUGGUGCAUGGCUGUCGUCAGCUCGUGUCGUGAGAUGUUGGGUUAAGUCCCGCAACGAGCGCAACCCUUGUUCACUGUUGCCAGCACGUUAUGGUGGGGACUCAGUGGAGACCGCCGGGGUCAACUCGGAGGAAGGUGGGGAUGACGUCAAGUCAUCAUGCCCCUUAUGUCCAGGGCUUCACGCAUGCUACAAUGGCUGGUACAGAGAGUGGCGAGCCUGUGAGGGUGAGCGAAUCUCGGAAAGCCGGUCUCAGUUCGGAUUGGGGUCUGCAACUCGACCUCAUGAAGUCGGAGUCGCUAGUAAUCGCAGAUCAGCAACGCUGCGGUGAAUACGUUCCCGGG
Molecule: ribosomal RNA, 1343 nt
Filed under: uncultured bacterium
Lineage: Bacteria
Description: 16S ribosomal RNA
Rfam family: Bacterial small subunit ribosomal RNA
Source: RNAcentral